UAGGGAAUCUUCCGCAAUGGACGAAAGUCUGACGGAGCAACGCCGCGUGAGUGAAGAAGGAUUUCGGUUCGUAAAACUCUGUUGUUAGGGAAGAAAAAAUGUAUAGUAACUAUAUACAAAAGAGACGGUACCUAACCAGAAAGCCACGGCUAACUACGUGCCAGCAGCCGCGGUAAUACGUAGGGGGCAAGCGUUGUCCGGAAUUAUUGGGCGUAAAGCGCGCGCAGGUGGUUUAGAAAGUCUGAUGUGAAAGCCCACGGCUCAACCGUGGAGGGUCAUUUGAAACUAAUAAACUUGAGUGCAGGAGAGAAAAGUGGAAUUCCUAGUGUAGCGGUGAAAUGCGUAGAGAUUAGGAGGAACACCGGUGGCGAAAGCGGCUUUUUGGCCUGCAACUGACACUGAGGCGCGAAAGCGUGGGGAGCAAACAGG
This 429-nucleotide ribosomal RNA is filed under the name Verrucomicrobiota bacterium. RNAcentral's name for it is "Verrucomicrobia bacterium partial 16S ribosomal RNA". It matches the Rfam family "Bacterial small subunit ribosomal RNA", at positions 355 to 776 of the family's 1533-position model. The record is from RNAcentral. Lineage: Bacteria; Pseudomonadati; Verrucomicrobiota.